GAGUUUGAUCUUGGCUCAGGACGAACGCUGGCGGCGUGCUUAACACAUGCAAGUCGAACGGAGCACCCUUGACUGAGGUUUCGGCCAAAUGAUAGGAAUGCUUAGUGGCGGACUGGUGAGUAACGCGUGAGGAACCUGCCUUCCAGAGGGGGACAACAGUUGGAAACGACUGCUAAUACCGCAUGACGCAUGACCGGGGCAUCCCGGGCAUGUCAAAGAUUUUAUCGCUGGAAGAUGGCCUCGCGUCUGAUUAGCUAGAUGGUGGGGUAACGGCCCACCAUGGCGACGAUCAGUAGCCGGACUGAGAGGUUGACCGGCCACAUUGGGACUGAGAUACGGCCCAGACUCCUACGGGA
RNAcentral lists this ribosomal RNA (356 nucleotides) under uncultured bacterium. Its description in RNAcentral is "bacterial SSU rRNA". It matches the Rfam family "Bacterial small subunit ribosomal RNA", at positions 9 to 346 of the family's 1533-position model. The record is from RNAcentral.